GGCAUGUUGAGAUUGGGUUUCAUUAAUGAUUGCUCUUUAAUCAGUUUGUUUGUGCAUGCGUUUGUUUGUUCAAAUUGAUGUUCCAGGCAGGGUGCCAGGUGCCGGUGGACAGAAAGGCAAGAGACAGAGUUCCUGCCCUGGGGUGCAUCUGUGGGGUAAGGAAGACAGAUGCAGAGCCCCAGACAGGCACAUGCAGGUCUCACGGCAAACUGGUCUGUGCAUGCAGGGAAGAGCAGAGAUCCCGUGACUGGGGUCCUGAGCUGAUCUGGGGUUGGGAGGGAGGUGGGUGGAAGGAGGCAGGAUCUGAACCAAAAGCUGCAGGGUAAACAGGAAUUGGCCACAAAGAAUGGGGUGGGGAAGGUGGGGCCAGAUGUGUCGGAGCAUGGGCCAAGGCCCCAGUCUGGAAAGGACCCACCUCUGAUGGCUGGUUAGUCAGCGGGCACAGGCCUGCAGGCAUGGAGAUGAAUUUGCAGAGGGAAGCUGCGUGACCACAGUGUUGGAAAAUGGAAUCAGGCUACACGUGCUCUUGUGGGAAUCCCACGGCAGCGUCCCCAUGAGGAGGCAGGGGCCCACCAUCACCGGCUGCACCUCUGACCUUCGAUGACCUUGGGGGCCAGGUGUCACGGUCACCCUGCACACGUGGGUUCCCUCAGCUGCUCUCAGGAACAAGAGAAUGAACCUGUCACCUCCUCUCCCGCUUGAAGGACAGCACCAUUUAUUGUUUACUGUGGGCUGAGACAGCUGGGGAUUCCUCACUGCGAUGGAGCCGACAUGCAAUAUUGAGGCAAAGAUGGCAGGGAGGUGGGGGGCAGCGCAGAGGAGAAGAGGAGAGAGCCCUCCCACAGCAGGCCUCCCUCUGGGCAGGCUGAGCUUUGCCACUAGCAAGCCCCGCCGGUGCCGGGGAAGGGGAGAAGACACAGGACCUGGAGGGAGGCCUUGGUGAAUUGAGCCUUGGCUUUGCUGGGUGACCCAGGCUUGGUCCCUGGAUGCCUCUGAGCUGUUGCUGGAACGUGACCUCCCACCUCCCACGAUAGAAGAAAAGUGGUCUGGACAAAGGAGGCUGCAAUGGACUGAAUGUUGUAUUCCUCCCCAGUUCACAGGCUGAACCCCUAAUCCCAAGGUGAUGGGAUUUGGAGGCAGGACCUUUGGGAGGAAUUAGGUCAUGAGGGUGGAGCCCUUGUGAUGAGAUUAGUGCCCUGGUAAGAAGAGGCCAGAGAGCUGGCUAGCUCUUUUUCUGCCACGUGAAGAUAACGAGAAGGCAGCCACCUGUAAACUAGGAAGACAGCCCUCACCAGAACCUGACCUUGCUGGAACCUUGAUGUUGGACUUUCAAACCCCAGAGCUAUGAGAAAU
RNAcentral lists this long non-coding RNA (1353 nucleotides) under Homo sapiens (human). RNAcentral's name for it is "HSALNT0318099". The record is from RNAcentral. Lineage: Eukaryota; Metazoa; Chordata; Mammalia; Primates; Hominidae.